CCGCGUGUUUCCGGCGCAUGAGUACGAACGCCUUCUCACGAUAUCCAUGCGCUGCAAAAAUAUUUCGUGUGAUUCCGAAUACCAGUCUAUAAAUUCCCUUAUGCAGCAGUGCCGUAAUGAAUGAGCACUAUCAUUCUGUCAAAGAAGUGCAAUAACUAGAACCCAUGACCGUGAGGGAUCGCAUGUUUGGGAAGAAUUCGUUUCUUGCAACCGCUGCAAAUCAGUUUGUUUUGAAACGUCAGGGAGCGAGGACGAGUCUGCUCGGUCUUCGAAGAAAUUCGUUCGACGCGUUCAAGAUUGAAGUCAUUUAAGUGGUCCUGAUCACCGGCAGGCUGGACACAACGACUGAGGGACGGAGACAACGAACUUUGUGCUUCAUGCACGAACGUUGAUGCGUGAAUUAGAGGAGCCGAGAGUGCAUUUUACACCUGGAUUACACAAGCAAGUUACGUCAAGCGAUGUCGUAAAUGGGUGAGUCAAUCGUCUACUGUGGUUGGUGUUACGUUCUGCGGAAGAAACGGAAGUUGGGGAAGAACAGCUAUCCAAAGGUGUGGAAGAGAUAAAGAAGCGUGACCACAGAGCAGCUACAGUGGUGAAGGAGAGACGCAGUGGUCAUCGUUCAUCCAUAUACGUUGUGCCCCGUGUGUUCGGCGUUUGUGCAUCAUGACAAUGCACGCUCGCGAUGGACAAGCAUCAAUCCUGAAAUGGAUAUAAUUUUCGAAUAAAGGUAUUUGUUUGUUAUAUUUAUCGUGCAGCGUAGCUUCCUGGGGCUGUUAAUAUAUCGUGGAGGAGGGGAACCACCCCGACGGGUAGGCCUAAAUCGCUGCGCGCUAUCCGUUACAUGUACCGCAUGUGAGGGCGCAUGUACCUCUUAAUUUUAAGAGGUACAUUUUUUAAAAAAUGUACCUCUU
Molecule: long non-coding RNA, 911 nt
Organism: Ornithodoros turicata
Lineage: Eukaryota; Metazoa; Arthropoda; Arachnida; Ixodida; Argasidae
Exons: 3
Source: RefSeq, a predicted model, not a curated record